Long non-coding RNA from Aegilops tauschii subsp. strangulata, 1518 nucleotides. RefSeq lists it as uncharacterized. NCBI's taxonomy places the organism in Eukaryota, Viridiplantae, Streptophyta, Magnoliopsida, Poales, Poaceae. The record is from RefSeq and is a predicted model, not a curated record.
CUAUAUUUAUCUAUCUAUCUAUAUCUAUACCUAUAUACCUAUACUAAUUUGUCACUUCCUAGAAAUUCCUACGUUAAUUAGAAAUUAAGAGCCGUUUAUUUGGUGGGACCUAAUUAUAACGGUGUAGAUCUGUUCUUGCUAUUUUGUUCUUUUGUUUAUCUGAUGGGACCGAAUUAUAAAGGUGUAGAUCUGUUCUUGCUAUUUAUAUUUCUUUCUGGCUCAAUGUCUCAUGCCUCUUUUGAAAGCUAGAGCAAAACUCCAAAAGAAAAAACACACGUGCACAUACAGAAUAAUCAACUGCCAAAAAAACAAUCCAUCAACUCUCUCUCUUUAAUGGCUCCGCUAAUCUCUCAUGCUUCUGUUUUUUUUUUCUUUCCUGAUCAAUCUAUCAUGCCUCUUUUCUAAAGCCAGAGCAAAACUCCAAAAAAUAUUUUGUUUUUCUUUGUGGCUCAAUCUCUCACGCAUAUGCCUUCCCUUCAUUGUAGCGGCCUCAGCUCAGCGUUGUCGAGCAGGACGAGAUCUUCAUCUCUUCCCUCCUGCAGGUGUGCUACCCAUCGUCCACACGCACGGGCCUCCUCCGUCCACCUCCUUUCUCAGGGCUUCCACAUGCCACAGUAGUACAAUCAGUUGGCAGAAACGCUGAGCUGGACGAUGGUGAUGAUUGCUCUAACUAUGUCGGAUCUUCUUCUGUCUUCCCAGCUACCCUUUCUCAUGUUUUGUAGCAAUGUGCUGUACUUUGCAAAUUCCGCAAGGCAGUAGGGAGGGGACAAAGUUGACCUGAGGCAGCUUCUAACGGAUUGAGGCUUUUGUUGUUUCUAUGCUAGCAAUUCAGGUGGAAGGAUAAUAUAAUGUACACCAUCAUCUUUGUAAAUAAAACCCCUUUGUAAACAAAGGGAAAUAUAUAACAAUUCCAAGUUCCAUUACGGCCAACACAUUGACUACCAAGUACCUAGAACCAUCUUCUAUGGGAAGUUGGUCCUGCUCCAGCCAGUUUAAUCUGCGGAUGUGUAUGAAGUGGAAUCUAUGGUGGUCAUGCUCCAGCCCCUUUAAUCUCAGGAAGAGGUGUCGACCGGUCGGGGUACUGGCAAGUGAGUGAAGGUCCCAACAGGUGUGUGCAACAUGAUCAAUGGGCUUACAAGUUCAUAUAUGUAAAUAUUAAUUGGAUGUCCCCAGGGGAAAACUUGAAAGCGUUGUGUUGCAGUAUGGCGGUGUGCCCACAUCGCCAAAAGUGCCGGUUAUUUCUCCUUUUUACACAAUCUAGUAUACGUGCAUGCCGAUAGUUCAGAACGUUCUGCAGCGUCUUAAAUUAUAAUAUUGUUUUUUGUUGCCCAAAUACUACUGCAAUGCAGACAUUAGUGGUGCUGUAGCCUGGACAAAUAAAAUGAGUAGUUGAAAAAUGUAUUAUCAUUUCGAGUGGCAAAAGUGUAGCUUAGAUGAUACUAAUUUUGCCUUCGGCAUGGUCAUAUUUUUUAGGAUAUGGACUUUUGAUGUCCAAUAACAACACAGAUUUUUCAUCUA